CCUACGGGGGGCUGCAGUGGGGAAUAUUGGACAAUGGGGGGAACCCUGAUCCAGCCAUGCCGCGUGUGUGAAGAAGGCCCUCGGGUUGUAAAGCACUUUCAGUGAGGAAGAACGCCUGGUGGUUAAUACCCAUCAGGAAAGACAUCACUCACAGAAGAAGCACCGGCUAACUCCGUGCCAGCAGCCGCGGUAAUACGGAGGGUGCGAGCGUUAAUCGGAAUUACUGGGCGUAAAGCGCGCGUAGGUGGCUUGAUAAGCCGGUUGUGAAAGCCCCGGGCUCAACCUGGGAACGGCAUCCGGAACUGGCAAGCUAGAGUGCAGGAGAGGAAGGUAGAAUUCCCGGGGUAGCGGUGAAAUGCGUAGAGGUCGGGAGGAAUACCAGUGGCGAAGGCGGCCUUCUGGACUGACACUGACACUGAGGUGCGAAAGCGUGGGUAGCAAACAGGAUUAGAUACCCUAGUAGUC
This 465-nucleotide ribosomal RNA is filed under the name Vreelandella stevensii. RNAcentral's name for it is "partial 16S ribosomal RNA". It matches the Rfam family "Bacterial small subunit ribosomal RNA", at positions 338 to 795 of the family's 1533-position model. The record is from RNAcentral. Lineage: Bacteria; Pseudomonadati; Pseudomonadota; Gammaproteobacteria; Oceanospirillales; Halomonadaceae.